UAGGGAAUCUUCGGCAAUGGGGGGAACCCUGACCGAGCAACGCCGCGUGAGUGAAGAAGGUUUUCGGAUCGUAAAGCUCUGUUGUUAAGGAAGAACGAGUGUGAGAAUGGAAAGUUCAUACUGUGACGGUACUUAACCAGAAAGGGACGGCUAACUACGUGCCAGCAGUCGCGGUAAUACGUAGGUCCCGAGCGUUGUCCGGAUUUAUUGGGCGUAAAGCGAGCGCAGGCGGUUAGAAAAGUCUGAAGUGAAAGGCAGUGGCUCAACCAUUGUAGGCUUUGGAAACUGUUUAACUUGAGUGCAGAAGGGGAGAGUGGAAUUCCAUGUGUAGCGGUGAAAUGCGUAGAUAUAUGGAGGAACACCGGUGGCGAAAGCGGCUCUCUGGUCUGUAACUGACGCUGAGGCUCGAAAGCGUGGGGAGCGAACAGG
Molecule: ribosomal RNA, 429 nt
Filed under: Bacteroidota bacterium
Lineage: Bacteria; Pseudomonadati; Bacteroidota
Description: Bacteroidetes bacterium partial 16S ribosomal RNA
Rfam family: Bacterial small subunit ribosomal RNA
Source: RNAcentral